GUACACUCCUACGGGAGGCAGCAGUGGGGAAUUUUGGACAAUGGGCGAAAGCCUGAUCCAGCAAUGCCGCGUGAGUGAAGAAGGCCUUCGGGUUGUAAAGCUCUUUUGUCAGGGAAGAAACGGUGAGAGCUAAUAUCUUUUGCUAAUGACGGUACCUGAAGAAUAAGCACCGGCUAACUACGUGCCAGCAGCCGCGGUAAUACGUAGGGUGCAAGCGUUAAUCGGAAUUACUGGGCGUAAAGCGUGCGCAGGCGGUUUUGUAAGUCUGAUGUGAAAUCCCCGGGCUCAACCUGGGAAUUGCAUUGGAGACUGCAAGGCUAGAAUCUGGCAGAGGGGGGUAGAAUUCCACGUGUAGCAGUGAAAUGCGUAGAUAUGUGGAGGAACAUCGAUGGCGAAGGCAGCCCCCUGGGUCAAGAUUGACGCUCAUGCACGAAAGCGUGGGGAGCAAACAGGAUUAGAAACCCCUGUAGUCCCA
Molecule: ribosomal RNA, 475 nt
Filed under: uncultured organism
Description: partial 16S ribosomal RNA
Rfam family: Bacterial small subunit ribosomal RNA
Source: RNAcentral